This 1181-nucleotide ribosomal RNA is filed under the name uncultured bacterium. RNAcentral describes it as "bacterial SSU rRNA". It matches the Rfam family "Bacterial small subunit ribosomal RNA", at positions 8 to 1182 of the family's 1533-position model. The record is from RNAcentral.
AGAGUUUGAUCCUGGCUCAGGACACACGCUAGCGGCGUACUUAACGAAUGCGAGUCGAGCGACGAAAGCCGGCUUCGGCUGGCCUGAAAGCGGCGAACGGGUGCGUAACACGUAGGUAACCUACCCUUGAGUCUGGGAUAGCCCCCAGAAAUGGGGGGUAAUACCGGAUGCGUUCCAUCGACUGCGGUCGGUGGAGGAAAGGGCUUGACCCGCUCAAGGAUGGGCCUGCGGCCCAUUAGCUAGUUGGUGGGGUAAUGGCCUACCAAGGCGACGAUGGGUAGCCGGCCUGAGAGGGCGACCGGCCACACUGGGACUGAGACAUGGUCCAGACUCCUACGGGAGUUAGCAUCGAGGGAUAUUGCGCAAUGGGCGAAAGCCAGACGCAGUGACGCCGCGUGGAGGACGAAGGCCUUCGGGUCGUAAACUCCUGUCGGGUGGGAGGAGAGCCUCGCUGAACAGGCGGGGUCUGUACAGUACCACCCCAAGAAAGCCCACAGCUAACUACGUGCCAGCAGCUGCGGUAAUACGUAGGUGGCGAGCGUCGUCCGGGAUUUACUGGGCGUAAAGGGCGUCUAGGCGGCCUGAUAAGCGGAGUGUGAAAUCUCUGGGCUUAACCCAGAAACGCCGCUCCGAACUGUCAGGCUUGAGUGCGGGAGAGGGCAGUGGAAUUCCCGGUGUAGCGGUGAAAUGUUUAGAUAUCGGGAGGAACACCAGUGGCGAAGGCGGCUGCCUGGACCGUUACUGACGCUGAAGCGCGAAAGCUAGGGGAGCGAACGGGAUUAGAUACCCCGGUAGUCCUAGCCGUAAACGAUGAGCACUAGGUGUUGGGAGCAUCGACCCUCCCAGUGCCGCAGCUAACGCAAUAAGUGCUCCGCCUGGGGAGUACGGCCGCAAGGUUGAAACUCAAAGGAAUUGACGGGGGCCCGCACAAGCGGUGGAGCGUGUUGCUCAAUCCGACGCAACGCGAAGAACCUUACCAGGCCUUGACAUCGAGGGACCAUCCGUGAAAACGGACUUCCGAAAGGACCCAAAGACAGGUGGUGCAUGGCUGUCGUCAGCUCGUGUCGUGAGAUGUUGGGUUAAGUCCCGCAACGAGCGCAACCCUCACCGACUGUUGCCAGCGGGUAAAGCCGGGAACUCUGUCGGAACUGCCGGAGCAAUCCGGAGGAAGGUGGGGAUGA